ACGGAAGGCAGCAGUGGGGGAUAUUGCACAAUGGGGGAAACCCUGAUGCAGCGACGCCGCGUGAGUGAUGAAGUAUUUCGGUAUGUAAAGCUCUAUCAGCAGGAAAGAUAAUGACGGUACCUGACUAAGAAGCACCGGCUAAAUACGUGCCAGCAGCCGCUGUAAUACGUAUGGUGCAAGCGUUAUCCGGAUUUACUGGGUGUAAAGGGAGCGUAGACGGCAUGACAAGCCAGAUGUGAAAGGUGGGGGCUCGACUCCCAAGCUGCAUUUGGAACUGUCAAGCUAGAGUAUCGGAGAGGUAAGUGGAAUUCCUAGUGUAGCGGUGAAAUGCGUAGAUAUUAGGAGGAACACCAGUGGCGAAGGCGGCUUGCUGGACGAUAACUGACGUUGAGGCUCGAAAGCGUGGGGAGCAAACAGGAUUAGAUACCCUGGUA
This 434-nucleotide ribosomal RNA is filed under the name uncultured bacterium. RNAcentral describes it as "partial 16S ribosomal RNA". It matches the Rfam family "Bacterial small subunit ribosomal RNA", at positions 341 to 792 of the family's 1533-position model. The record is from RNAcentral.